UACGGUGACAUCAUGUUGUAAUACUGGUUCCCAUACGAUCAUUGCAGUUAAGCAACAUCGAGCCUGGUCAGUACCUAAAUGGGUGACCACUUGGAAAUACAAGGUGCUGUAAG
RNAcentral lists this ribosomal RNA (113 nucleotides) under Acanthosepion pharaonis. Lineage: Eukaryota; Metazoa; Mollusca; Cephalopoda; Sepiida; Sepiidae. The record is from RNAcentral.